CAAAAUGAUCAUAUGAUGUACAGGAAUGCCUUCAUUCUGAAUUAUUGUUUUCCAUGGUGUCUCUUGGAUUUGGAUCUGGCUGUCCUUUACCAGCUAUUAGAAGUGUCUGACCUAGCUUUUGCCACAGUCCCCUCCCUGUCCCUUGGCCAAGCCACUGUAGGAGGUGCCCUGAGUCACAUCUUUCAUGCUAUCUACCCACCCUCAUGCUUUCCUGAAGGAACUUCCUCUACAGGUUGUUGUGGGAUGGGGGAAUCCAACCACCCCAGCAGGAAAGCAUUUCUUGUCCACAAGGGCUCUUAGCCAUAUGGACAAGUAGAAAUGUAACUCCAUCUUCAUUAGUUCUUAAAUUAAGCUUGUGUAGAAAGACUUUCUGGAUGCAAAACUUGCAUCACUUUAACCCAUUUGCAAGAUUCCUACAUUUGUUUUGCAUUGAGAUGGCCAAACAUUCUCCACUGUCAUGACCAAAUACUUCCUGUAUGUGGAGGACAUCCUAAUCUGCACACUCCUGUUACCAUACUGGAAGCUAGUUACAAGGGGGAAAUAUCCAAAAUCACAGCAGGUUAUCAUUUGGCAUUAUUAAUUACAGGACAGAGAAGUCUCACCAUUUGUUUACAUUCCAGCAGACAGUUUUGGUUCUAAUGAGCACUUGGCAGUUCUGUCUACGCAGUGAGGAAAACCCAUCUGCUCCAAACUGCGUGUAAACCUGUCAACAACUUACCCAACUCAGGGCCCUGCUCUCCACGCUUUACUCCAUCAGAGCUCCUUCUCACACCUCCCUGGGAGUACAGACAAAAUAGAAAACACUGUGUUGGGAAGUACUCAGAGCAUAAAAUAGUUACUAUCUUGACAGCAUGAAAUCUGCACUCUGUAUCCAGCAGCUCUACCAGUUCUGUAAAACACGCUCCACACGCACAUCUCUGACCACACCACAGAAAACCAAACACUCCCAAAUCAAAAAGCUUGUUUUUCACACCAACUACAGGUAAAGUACAGCUGUCCAGGAGGAAGAAGAAGGAGGAAUGUUAUAAUAGUCGGCCACUGUAUCUAAACCAAUUGGCAGCUUAAGUGGGGCUGUGACUUCCAAGAAUGAGCUGCCCACAUGCGACUGCUGUGUGAUUUUGACCAUGUUCCACUGCACCAGUAUCUGACCUGGCAAUGUUUAGUGUACCUGGGAAAUUUGUUUAGCACUUUGGAAGGAUAAAUUCAUCCUUUCUGGCAAGUUAUAUAAGUUUUCUCUGUAAGGAAAAGUGUGUUAGGAGGUUUUUAUUUUUUUAAGAAAAAAAAAAUACCCUAUUUAUCAGAGCUCUUGCAUAUGAAAAUAAUUUGUUUGCAGUUCAAGACUAAAGACAGGAAUGUUCUCCAGAGGUUCCCCCUACUGAUUAAUGACCAACAGUUCUGAUAAAUUCCCCCACCAUAAAGGUAAUUUCAUACUGGUUUUCACUAUGCAUUCUUUAAUGAAAGCUGGAAUGUUUUUCCAUUCAGUAAUUCAGUUAAAGUUCUCAGCACUUUUUUCUUUCUUCUUUUUUUUUUACUUGUUGUAUUAUGUUCAAAUAUCAUUCUGUCAAGGUUUGUGUACAUUAAUAAAAAUUUGUAUUGUAUAAAGCUUUUUGCAUUAUAAGGCUGUACAGGGUCAUUUUGACAGUAACUGGUAUAUUUCUUUGCAUUUUAUGUUGCAUUGCCAAUUUCUAGUGUAUCCAGUUUGGAAGUACAAUAUACUCUAAUUAAAAAGGUUGGCUAUAUUCUGG
Long non-coding RNA from Taeniopygia guttata (zebra finch), 1745 nucleotides. The record is from Ensembl. Lineage: Eukaryota; Metazoa; Chordata; Aves; Passeriformes; Estrildidae.